Myotis daubentonii (Daubenton's bat) is the source of this 452-nucleotide long non-coding RNA. RefSeq lists it as uncharacterized. The record is from RefSeq and is a predicted model, not a curated record. Lineage: Eukaryota; Metazoa; Chordata; Mammalia; Chiroptera; Vespertilionidae.
AGGCAUACCUAGCUGUGCUGUCCUCAGACAAAGCCCACUAAGUCCAUCCUAUAAAAUCACACACCUGAAUGUUCAUGAUAUGCUAGGAUGAACAGUCAAAAGAAAAGAAGAUAUGGAAUCUGCUUGUACCUGGAGAUUAUUAUCUAAACAUGAAGCUGCUUCAAAUUCUCUGGCUUAAUUUUCAUGGAAGAAGCUUACAGGCAAAAAUCAUUGAUCUUUUUUGGUAAGAUGAAGUCCCAAACUUUCAUAACAGGUCCUUCCAACUGCACAGUUUGCCAGUGUCUCAGCUAUACUUGCCUGCCAAGCACUAUGCAAUCUAUACUGUAAAACCAAAGACCUGAAGUAAGUUGAAAUUUCCUUCAAACUCUUAGGUAUUUGCAGGUAAACACUAGAUGUUUAGAGUUCAACUCCUAGCUGAUUGGACCUGAAAACAAAGUAUAACAAGUGCUCAA